AUGUGUGAUGGAAUAAAGGAUAAGCAGAUGGUGAGGUGGCAUAGGAAUAGGGAGAGUGGAAAGAAAGCUAGAUGGGACAUAACACCCCAUUAUAGUGAGAAGCUAGAGGUUGAGAAGGAGAGGGCCAAAUAUUGCAAACCAAUUCAAGCUGGUGUGGACUUGUGGCAAGUUACAAGUGGGCAGCAAACCCAUGCUGUUAACUUGCAAAUGCACACAUGUGGGUGCAGAAAAUGGGACCUAAGUGGCAUCCCAUGUAACCAUGCCAUCUCAGCAAUAAACAAGGCCAAAAGAAAACCAGAGGAUUAUGUCAGCAAGUUCUUCAAGAAAGAAAUUUAUCUGGCAGCUUAUGAACCAAUGAUCUAUCCAGUUCCUGGUGAGCAUGACUGGACAAGGACACCUGGUCCAGACAUUGACCCACCUGCAUUUAAAGUGAAGAGAGGAAGAAAGAAAGAGAAGAGGAUCAAGGGGAAAUUUGAAGUCCCAAAGCCUAAGGGGACAUCAAGAAUGGGGACUAUAACAUGUGGCAACUGUGGACUGCAAGGACAUAGCCUCUUGCAAGGAAUUCCAAUGCUGGUGCUGCUGCUACUACACAAGCAUCAACAACUUCUCAUCCAACUCCUACAACAACACCAACAGCUGGAACAGGAGCUGGGAGAGGAGCUGGGAGAGGAGCUGGGAGAGGAGCUGGGAGAGGGGCUGCAGCUGCAGCUGCUGGGACUGGUGCUGCUAGAGGUGCUGGUAGAGGUGCUGCACCAGGUGCUGGGAGAGGUGCUGGGAGAGGGAGAGCUUCUGGUGGUAGAAACAGAGGAUGGAGAGCCUACUUCUAUGCAAGUGGUAACCACUAAAUGGCACAUGUGCCAUGUAAUGUUCAAAACUAGAUACUUCAUGUGUGUUCUUGCAUCCUAUGGUACAAUGUGA
RNAcentral lists this ribosomal RNA (918 nucleotides) under Triticum aestivum (bread wheat). RNAcentral's name for it is "partial small subunit ribosomal RNA". Lineage: Eukaryota; Viridiplantae; Streptophyta; Magnoliopsida; Poales; Poaceae. The record is from RNAcentral.